GUGCCAGCAGCCGCGGUAAUACGGAAGGUCCGAGCGUUGAUCCGGAUUUAUUGGGUUUAAAGGGAGCGCAGGCGGAGAUGCAAGCCAGCCGUAAAAUCGUCGGGCUCAACCCGAUCUCGCGGUUGGAACUGCAUCCCUUGAGUGCGGGAGAGGAAGGCGGAACUCGUGGUGUAGCGGUGAAAUGCAUAGAUAUCACGAAGAACUCCGAUCGCGAAGGCAGCUUUCCGGCCCGUAACUGACGCUGAGGCUCGAAGGCGCGGGUAUCAAACAGGAUUAGAUACCCUGGUAGUCCGCGCAGUAAACGAUGGAUGCUCGCGUUUUGGCCUAUAUGGCUGAGACGCCAAGCGAAAGCGUUAAGCAUCCCACCUGGGGAGUACGCCGGCAACGGUGAAACUCAAGGAAUUGACGGGGGCCCCGUACGAGCGGAGGAACAUGUGGUUUAAUUCGAUGAUACGCGAGGAACCUUACCCGGGCUUGAAAUGCGACUGACCGGGACUGAGAGACCAGUCCUUCCUUCGGGCAGUCGUGUAGGUGCUGCAUGGUUGUCGUCAGCUCGUGCCGUGAGGUGUCGGCUUAAGUGCCAUAACGAGCGCAACCCUUACCGCCGGUUACCAUCGGGUAAUGCCGGGGACUCCGGCGGCACUGCCAUCGCAAGAUGUGAGGAAGGCGGGGAUGACGUCAAAUCAGCACGGCCCUUACGUCCGGGGCCACACACGUGUUACAAUGGGGGGCACAGCGAGCUGGAUGAUGGCGACAUCAUUCGAAUCAUGAAAUCCCCUCCCAGUUCGGACUGGAGUCUGCAACCCGACUCCACGAAGCUGGAUUCGCUAGUAAUCGCGCAUCAGCCAUGGCGCGGUGAAUACGUUCCCGGGCCUUGUACACACCGCCCGU
Molecule: ribosomal RNA, 891 nt
Filed under: uncultured equine intestinal bacterium
Lineage: Bacteria
Description: bacterial SSU rRNA
Rfam family: Bacterial small subunit ribosomal RNA
Source: RNAcentral